CCUUCCGGGAUGAGUAAAGUGGCGCACGGGUGAGUAACACGUGGAUAAUCUACCUCUAAGUGAGGGAUAACUCCGCGAAAGCGGGGCUAAUACCUCAUAAUAUUAUUUUCUCCUUGGAGAGGGUAGUCAAAGGUGGCCUCUGUUUCAAGCUACCGCUAAGAGAGGAGUCCGCGGCCCAUUAGCUUGUUGGUAAGGUAAUGGCUUACCAAGACGACGAUGGGUAGCUGGUCCGAGAGGAUGUCCUGGAGAGGUCCAGACUCCUACGGGAGGCAGCAGUGAGGAAUCUUGCGCAAUGGGGGAAACCCUACGAGCACGCGUGUAGUAUGAGGCUUUCGGGUCGUAAAGCUCUGUUAGGUGGGAGAAAGUUCUCGACAAUAUCGAGAAUCUUGACGGUACCACCAGAGGAAGCACCGGCCAACUCCGUGCCAGCAGCCGCGGUAAUACGGAGGGUGCAAGCGUUGUUCGGAAUUACUGGGCGUAAAGAGCGUGUAGGCGGCUAAUAAAGUCAGAUGUGAAAGCCCUGGGCUCAACCCAGGAAGUGCAUUUGAAACUAAUUAGCUAGAGUACGGGAGAGGAGGUGGAAUUCCUGGUGUAGAGGUGAAAUUCAUAGAUAUCGGAAGAAACCGGUGCGAAGCGGCCUCUGCCGAUCUGACGCUGAGACGCGAAAGCGUGGGGAGCAAACAGGAUUAGAUACCCUGGUAGUCCACGCCGUAAACGUUGGGCACUAGGUGUGGGAGGUAUUUAUUCCUUCUGUGCCGAAGCUAACGCAUUAAGUGCCCCGCCUGGGGAGUACGGUCGCAAGGCUAAAACUCAAAGGAAUUGACGGGGGCCCGCACAAGCGGUGGAGCAUGUGGUUUAAUUCGACGCAACGCGAACAACCUUACCUGGGCUUGACAUGUUGGUAGUAGUGAACCGAAAGGGGAACGAUCCCGAGCAAACUGGAAACCAACACAGGUGCUGCAUGGCUGUCGUCAGCUCGUGUC
Molecule: ribosomal RNA, 983 nt
Filed under: uncultured bacterium
Lineage: Bacteria
Description: bacterial SSU rRNA
Rfam family: Bacterial small subunit ribosomal RNA
Source: RNAcentral